GUGAGCUACCAUGGCGAUGUCCUCUAUGACAAGUACAUCAGGCCCGAGAUGCCCAUCGUUGACUACCGUACUCGCUGGAGCGGCAUCACUCGGCAGCACAUGUGCAAGGCUAUCCCCUUCCAGGUGGCCCAGAAAGAGGUAAGGGCAGGGUUGGGGACUUGUUUGGGAGGUGUGGUGGGCUGGAAAGAGCCACCCUGGGUUUGAAUCACCACUUUGCUUCACUGGGGGCAAGAAACCUUGGGAAAGUCACCUAACUGCUCCAAACAGUAGGUUCCUUCUCCAUAGAAUAGGGGAAAUAAAAAUAAAAUCCCGACCCUGCCUCCAGAUAAGGAUUGCUGGCCUGUUGCACAGGACAGUGUAGAAAGGCUACGCCAACUGUAAGGUGAUAAACAGCUCACAUUUUAGAGUUUGCUUUCUGUUAUAAAAGUUGUACGCAUUGAUAUAAAAUUUGUAAAGCCCACAGUGGCAUCACAUUCAGGUAUGGAUGUUUUGGCAUAUUUCCUUAUGUUAGUUUCUUAGUGCUUAGAAAAAAUUAGUGGUUGGGACCACACUGAUGCACCAGGAAUUCCCAAACAUGCUUGACCUUAGAAACACCUAAGGCCUUUUCAACAAUCUAGGAUCCUUGUCCCCAGUUCCCUCCAUAGAGUUCCUGAUCCAUUAGGCUUGGGGAGGGCUCUGAUCUGUGUUCCAAAAAAUCAUCACACUGUGCAGACUUGCACCAUAAAGCCACAGGGCUUAAGGGGAAAUAGAGGAAGGGAACAGUAUUAAAAAGGCCAUCAGUGACACCCCAAAAAUAAGAUAGAAACUAAUAAAAAGGGUAGUCCAGUUUUACACAUCUUGUUUCUUCUUUUUUUUUUUUUUCUUAUUCCACACAUCUUAAAUGGUUAAGAAAUGCACAGUACACCAAUAAGUAUGGCAUUUUACCUUGAAAAAGACCUGAAACUUGCCUGUGGAAACAGGAGUCAGAAAGGUUGCAGCUUGAGUUUCUGUGAAGUGGUCGAAGGAGAGUUCUUUGAAGUCAGACAGGAAGUGUGACACCAGCUGUGGAUGGGUGUGGCUUAUCACACAGGUGAACCAGGGUUGCUGGGAGAUGUUUGGGCUUUGUGCGUAUUGUGUAUGACCUCUUGGUUCAGUUCAGCUGGAUGUAGUUUUCUGCGUUUACUCAGUGUUUCUCAAGGAUGAAAUUAUGCAUAAGCAAAGGUGAAAUUUGCAUUGUUUUCAAAAUGUGUCGUACAUCAAUUGCAUUGAGACAAAUCUGCAUUUUCUAAACAAGCCUUAUAACAGGACCACUUUUUAACACUUCUGGGUUAUUCUUGGGAUUAGGCAAGGUUGGGAAAUACUGGUGUACACUAUCUCGUGUCCUACUUUUUCACAUGACAUUGUGGCCCGAGCAUUCCUUUGAAAUGAUUGGAGGUUAUUUUAUGUAUCAAGCAGGCCAAUCAGUAAGAGUAGCAAGAGGGGAGGUGUGUGGGGAACCCUCCAGCUCCUUGGUCCCUUCCAUUGACCUGGUGGGUGGUGGUCCCAAGAGCAGGACCACUUUUUGUCUGCCCAGACUCUGAGCGCCACUGUGGGGUGUCCUUCACCUCUUUCCACUUCAUGGCUGACUGGGGGGAGGGGCAGUGUGGUGAGUGACCAGCAUGGUGGCAUGUCCCUACUAUAAAGUCUCAAUGCAUCUUAUCCAUCUGCCAUGAAAGCUGGGUUUAGGGAUAAACCAUAUGUUGCCAGCAGAGGUAGGCUGUGGAGGCCCGCAGCUGGUGAUAAGGAGAGCCCAAGCCCAGCUAAGAGGGCUGGAGGGGGUUGCUGGCCCAUGGCCCUGGGCGUGGCCUCCCUGGUAUGUGAGGAGGGCCAGCCAGCAGGGAAGGGAGGUACACAUUGUGCAGGCGGCCAGAGCUGAGCAAGAGAGCAGGUUAAGAGGGUGAGGAGGAGUUGGUACACAGCAGGGCAAGGGGGCAGAGUCCUGAAGACAGGGAUUAUGGCCCUUAAUGCUCAUAAGAGCUGCUGCUAUGGUGUGUCUACCAGUGACAGGCACGGUUCUGUUGACUUCACCCAGCUGGCCUUUAUUGAUCACAUCCUGUGAUAAGUAAAUAAUCAGUAAAUGUAAUGCUUUCUACUACAGGAAAAAGAUAGGCAUUAAAAAAAAAGAAUAAAUGUGACGCUUUCCUUGGAGCAUCACUAAGAAGUCCAACAUGGUCCCUGCACUCAACAGACCUUACAGUGGGGUGGGGGAGAGUUGGGUGGAGUGGGAGGCCUGGUGAUGUCUUCCAGGCUGAGAGGAGAGCCAAGAAUGCUGCUGGCAGUGUUCCCCUUUGACAGGUGCGGAAGACAUAGGUAUACCCCUGGGUAUAGACAGUAGAAGGGCCUGGGUUCAGACUUGGGGCAGCAUGCUUGACUGUGGAGCUCGUGAUCUCCCCACUCGGUGCUGCCUCCCUCCACAGGGAUCCAUGCACCUAUUGGCCAGGGGUUCUCGGGGCAUGUCUUCUGCCAACCUGAUGGGGUGUGGGGGGACCUCCCUGACUCCUCUUUCUGCUCACAGAUCCUUAAGCUCCUGAAGGGCAAGGUGGUGGUGGGGCACGCGCUGCACAACGACUUCCAGGCGCUCAAGUAUGUCCACCCUCGGAGCCAGACCCGGGAUACCACCUAUGUCCCAAACUUCCUCAGCGAGCCCAGCCUCCACAUCCGGGCCCGGGUCUCUCUAAAGGACCUGGCCCUGCAGCUGCUGCACAAGAAGAUCCAGGUGGGCCAGCAUGGGCACUCAUCAGUAGAAGAUGCCACGACAGCCAUGGAGCUCUACCGGCUGGUGGAGGUACAGUGGGAACAGCAGGAGGCCCGCAGCCUCUGGACCUGCCCCGAGGACAGAGAACCUGACAGCAGCACAGACAUGGAACAGUACAUGGAGGACCAGUACUGGCCCGAUGACCUGGCCCACGGCAGCAGAGGAGGAGCCCGGGAGGCACAGGACAGAAGGAAUUGAGAAGGGGGCGGGGCUCCCUGGCUGGGCUUCCGGUGUGGCCGGUAGGAAGUGGGGGCCAGGAGAGCAGCGGGCACUCCUUCCUGGGCAGGGUGGGGCAGGAUGCAGCGAGCCAGCCCCAGGGUCAGAGGAGUUGGGGUCAUCUGUUAAAUUGACACCCUCUGCUCACAGCAUAGCCCUCUCUCUCUCCAGGGCUGUUGGUUCUUUCUCCUGACUCCUGUGGUUUUGCUAAUGGCACUUUACAGACAGACUCCAUGGAGAUGUCAGGUGGACCAUCUUCUAGGGCCCAGCAGGAGUAGGGAAUGUGCCAACAGACUGCCCAGGUUGUCGUGGCCUUCCCCACCCCCCAGAUCUCCUGAGUCAUCAUGCUGUGCUAACGAAAGGGAUCAUAUCCUCUCUGGGGAUGGUGGGUGGGGGUGUCAAUAUCCUGGAGCUCCCUUACCCCAACUCAAUGACUUGAGGUAAAGUUCUCUUCCUUUUAUUGCCUACCUCUUCCUCCACUCAUUUGGGUUCAGAAUAAACAUGCCCUGAAGUUAAAGAGGAGUUAAGUCCUGAAGGAGGCAUUUCUUCCCCACCUCCCUGACCUGGAACUCUGGCUGCAGCCGUUGUAGGAACUCCACGCUCCGUCUGGCCUGUCAGCUCCCUGCUAGGCUACAGUGGAAUAGCAGAGCCCACAGGCUUCUCGUGGGGAGUUGGCUCCUUAACAUGCUUGGCAACAGAAAGCCCCAGGCACAGCUAGGGAGGAGGGAAGGCAGGUAAGCUUUGGACAAGAACUGGCAUAUUGAUUUUGACCCAAAUCAGGGAUUUCCCCAGUCCACCCAGUACUGGGCUCUUAAGCAAAAGUCUGAGAAACAAGACAGUGGUUUGAAUUCUGGGGCCUUUGUGUAGAAUUGUGCCUGACCUUUAUUUAUUUAUUAAGAGCAGGGCCACUUGUCUAGGGGAGUGGAGUCUGCGUGUCUCCUGGGGCUGGGGCAGGGCAUUGGCGGUUAUGCAGUGGCCCUGUACCUGGUCUGGUGCCCCCUCAGCUCUUUGACAAUCACUGUGGCUGUUGGGUUUUCUCCUAUUUCUAAAAAUAUUCUCUUUCCUAAGUGACAGUUUUGAAGUAUUGGGUAACCAAGAGCUCAGGUCACACAGAUCUUGGAGCCCCAUCUUUGCUUGCAGCUUAGCUUUGAGAUACUAAGCAAGCGAGGGACUUUACUCUUGAGCCUGUUUUGUCCUCAUCUGUAAAAUGGGGAUAGUGGUACGGCCUACCUCACAGGGUUGUAAUGAGCACUAAAUGUGAAGUGUUGGGGAUAGUGGUACGGCCUACCUCAUAGGGUUGUAAUGAGCACUAAAUGUGAAGUGUUUGGCACAGUGCCUGGCACAUGGUGAGCCACAGCUACUGUGAGUUUCUGUUUAUCCCUUUUUUUUUUUUACGCCCAAAAAGGGGCCACAACAUUGUUUAUUCUUUGAGGAUUUGUUGUAACUUCUUCAGGAUAACACCUGAGUCCCCAGGCUGAGCAGCUGUGGCCCAGACAGAACUGCUCUGGCUUGGCUGUUCCAGCAGGUGGGGCGCUGGCCUCGGUGAGGGCACAGCAGCAAGGUUUACGGAUAUCCGUGUGUCUUGUCUGUGGCCACCAGGCACAGGUUUGGCUUCCGGUCAGUGUCCCGACACUGUGCGGGAGGUGACAACAGAGCAAAGCAGCACAGGGGUCACGGAGGUAAAGACACUGCUGAAAUCACACUACCCCACCCUCAGCUGAAGCCCCACGUUCCACAAACUUGGGGUCAUAGAUUGUCCAGUGACUGGCUCCCUCCCUGUCAGCACAGCACAGAGGAAGGGGCUGACUGAAUCUUUUACCACUUCUGGCCUGGCUCCAGAACUUUGUUCUAGACUCCUUAAAAGUCCGUAGCUGAUGUCAAACUCAGUUGAGCAGUAGCUUUGAUCCCUUGGUCUGGGGGUUGAAGGAAGACGGCGCUGUUAUCAGCGGGGAAAUGUACUAUUUAAGAUCAGCUUUGUUGUAAAACCAUUUGUUCUAGAAUAAAACUCAAUUGGAAAAGUG
This 5010-nucleotide small RNA is filed under the name Pongo abelii (Sumatran orangutan). RNAcentral describes it as "retained intron". Lineage: Eukaryota; Metazoa; Chordata; Mammalia; Primates; Hominidae. The record is from RNAcentral.